This 253-nucleotide ribosomal RNA is filed under the name uncultured bacterium. Its description in RNAcentral is "partial 16S ribosomal RNA". It matches the Rfam family "Bacterial small subunit ribosomal RNA", at positions 524 to 776 of the family's 1533-position model. The record is from RNAcentral.
UACGUAGGGUGCAAGCGUUGUCCGGAAUUACUGGGCGUAAAGUGUGCGCAGGCGGCCGCGCAAGUCGAGUGUGAAAGCCCCGAGCUUAACUUGGGAAUUGCGCUCGAAACUACGUGGCUGGAGUGUGGCAGAGGAAGGUGGAAUUCCACGUGUAGCGGUGAAAUGCGCAGAUAUCAGGAAGAACACCCGUGGCGAAGGCGGCUCUCUGGGACGGUACUGACGCUGAGACGCGAAAGCGUGGGGAGCGAACAGG